UUAGCCCAAGUCCUCCUGCUGUUGGGGCAUCCUGCCGGACAAGGCAAAACAUGCCCUCAAGGAAAAGAUCCUAGCCUGUUUCUCUCCUGUGGACUCCUACCUGCAUCUCGAGCUUCAUCCUCCUUGUCAGCUUGAGACAGGCCAGUACCUGGAACCUGGGACCUGGGACCCUUUGCUGCAGUGCUUGCACCUGGACAGACAACUCCUAGAGCAACAAAAUACAAAGAAACUGUAUGGGACUAAAAAUAAAUGUGUGCAUGCACAGUUGGGGCAAAUUAGGGGCAUGAAGAUACCAAAAAAAAAGGAGUUCCCAUCAUGGCUCAGUGGUUAACGAAUCUGAUUAGCACCCAUGAGGACGUAGGUUCGAUCCCUGGCUCACUUGGUUAAGGAUCUGGUGUUGCCGUGAGCUGUGGUGUAGGUCGCAGACACUGCUCGGAUCCUGCAUUGCUGUGGCGUAGGCCAGCAGCCGCAACUCCAUCUUGACCUCUAGCCUGGGAGCCUUCAUAUGGCACAGCUGCGGCCCUAUAAAGCAAAAAAAGAAAAACAAAAAGCAAAAAAACCAAUAGCCACAUCUGAAGAGCAAAGCUAGGUGUUAGGAGAAAAUCACGGUACUAUGCAUACCUCCCUGCACGCAGAACCACCAAAGGGGUGGGCAGAUCACCUAUGCUAUCGCUCUGACCAGACCCCUGGACCUGCCCCUACCCUCACCCUAUGUAAGGAACCAGCUUGCCCCCUCUCAGUGAGCAAGCAAGGGAAACUGUUGCUUGUUUUUCUCCCCCCACUGCAGCAGGGGCCCCAAUAAAGCUUUGCCUAAAUUUCUUGCCUGGCCUCUUAUUAAUUUCUAUGAUUAAAGAAGCCAAGAACUCUGUUGGGUAGCAAGUUCACCUUUUUCAGUGAUUCCUCCUGGUAGAAAAGACCACUUCUGUCCUUUCUGUGGAUUCAAGCUUCCACCAGCUGGUGAGCAGAGUGGGUCCAGGCUUCCUCCCAUCCCAGCGGGCUGUGUCUCUGCCUGUCUUUCUUGCUGGAGCAUCUCCUCUAAGACUACAACAAAGUCACCUUCCCCAGCAGUCCCUUCACCCCAGCUCCGCCAUGAACACUUUUGUAUAUCUUCUUCCAGAGGCAAACACUUUAACAUAACUGCAAUAUGGUACAUAGCUGUUUGUACCAAGCUGUUAGGUUUUUGUAGGUUAUAACUGCUCCAAGGUUAGAAUGUCAUAUAGUUAGUUCUGUUACUGAAUUGGGUCCUGCCACUCACCACUCAAAAAUCAAUACAAGACUGAAAGAGCUGGGGGAGGGGGAGUCGUAGAAAGGAAAGAAAAGUUGCUUUUAAUCAGGAUGCCGCAGUCUGAUUAAAAGCCAUCUCCAAAGGUUCUGCUCUGUCAUGGAAACUUUUAAAGGGGAAAAGGGAAGUGAUCUCAGUUCUUCAUUUAGAUUGGGGGUCAUUGCCCCAGAGUCAUUGCCAUCCCCCAACUUCUCGUGAUUUUUCUUUAGAUGCUAUAUUAUUUAUACAGUUUGUUUGUGAGAUUACUGAAGGGAAAGCUGGGCAAGAGAUCUGGUCACCUAUUCGUUACUUAUUUUUCAUGUCUUCUUUGAUCUACAGAAAGGAUCGCCAGAUUAGGCAAGGUAUUGUGUGUUCAAAAGAUUUGAAAGGUGUUCUUGGGCCAGAGAUGAGUAGAGCAUGGAGGUGCCUGGGUUAAGGUUAGUGACAAGAAAAAGGGAGACACACACCUCAGCCCCCACCACCACCACCACCCUGCUGCCAGAGAGGGCAGUUUCCUGCAGUUUUCACUUCCCCCAUGCAACCAUUUUAAUUCUUUGGCUGUCUUUAUACUGCCAUUUCUUAAUAUUUUAAUAGCUCAGAAAUGAUUGCCAUUUGCAAUUUUAAAAAUCAAGCAUUCACUAUCAGCCUUCCCACACCACUCCCACCUUUUCCCUCCCACGCUCAUAUUCCCUUCCACUCCAUUUAGUUACAUAAUAAUUUUUAGGUUUAGCAUUUUCAUUAGGACCCUGCAAAUAGCAGCUUAGCUAUUUAUUGAACUCUGAUUACAUUUCCUUUUUGAACAAAUUAUGUUUUCCCUGGAGUUAGUAAAUGAUUGCUGAAGGUACACCUGCCUCAACACUAUAACAGAGGUCAUCUCAUCUGUUUCAUUCUUUCUCGUGGAGACCCUCCUCCUGGACCCCCCUGCCCUCCUGCUGAGUCUCAUGGCUCCUCUUCAGCAUUUCCUAGGAGUCACUUCCCAUCUCUCUUGUUGGAUCCCUGGUUUAUGCACCCAGUGUCUUUCUCUUUCUAGAUUUAUUCCUUGGUUUUCAGAGAGUACAUUCAUCACUUUGUAAAAAAGCAUGCUUGAGAAAGGGUUUAGUUUUUUGUUUUUGUCUUGUCUUUGUUUUUUGAGAUCUUGUGUGUCUAAAAAUGUCUUGACUGCUGCAGCUAGACCUCAGGGUCCAUUCUAUCAUGGAGACGCUCCACCCACACUGGACUGCCUCGGAUUUGUGGGACAAUGAGCUGGACUCAGAGGAGGCUCAUCAAACUGGAGGAUCCCUGAGAGGCGCUGAACAUGGGGAAAGGGCCCCAUGGCUUGUGCAGUGGCCUUACUGGUGGGAAAGAAGGUAUGAGGGGAAACUACUCAGAUGAAGACAGGAGUUGUGGAGGACAUAAGGAAACUGAAAGGCUAGGGCCCAGAAGAGAUCAGUGAAGAGGAAGACCCCCAUCUGAGCCUGGUGUUGGGCACAGAAAGCAACCAAAGGCAUGAGCCCACACAUGUGAUGAAGAAUGGUGAGACAGAGCCAAAGAAGAAGAAGGGGAUCCAGGAACACAGAAGCAGAAAGUCAGGCCAAAGAAUGCAGACAACUGUCUUUAUGAACUGGCAGAAAACAUCCAUGCAUCCUCAGCAAAGAGGACUGUAGUGAUAUCUCCCAAAUAGAUGCUGCUCGGCAUCCCCAAGGUGCUCCACAUGAUGCUAAAAUAAAAAAUCUAUCCACAGAGGAUGCUGAGGCACAUCUGCUGACAGAGCAGCAGAACAAGAAAGACAGUGAGACAUCCUCGUUCACCAGUUCGUAUGAAUUAUGAGCAGCAAAACAAUCUUACCACUAGGUGCUCAGGUUCCCAGAUGGAGAACAAAGAAGAGCCAAUGCCCCACCUUUGAGAAUGGGUUUCCCCACCCCCAAACACAAGAGUUGUGCUAAGGACAAGUCCACCAACUUCUAUCAUUAUGAGAAGUUCUGAGGGUGGCUGAAGGGAAGGACAGGGUGGGAUGUGAACAGCACCUUCCUUCAAACCUCCUCAUAAGAAAAGACUUCCUGAACAUAGACUUGAUUAUUUGCUGGCAGACAGCUCCAAAACCGGAUUCUACUAGUCCUGUUAUUUACCUGCUGCAUUUCUCAAGCGCUAACUUUGGAAACUUUUGAAAUGAAACAAUAUGCAGUUUUCCUAUUUAAAAGCAAAGUCUUUUCUUGUGAACAUUAUUAAAUCUUAUUUGUUUUUUUUUAAGUGCUUAUUCUGCAUACUUAUUUGAUAGUUUUGCUGGGUAUGGAAUCCUACAUUGAAAAUUAUUUUCUCUCCAACUUUUGAAGGCACCACUCCUGUAUGGAUGGGAGAAGUUGGAUACUAUUUACCUUUGAAAGAUUUUAGGAUGUAUUCUUUGCUCCAGUAUUCUGAAAUUUGUCUGUGAUGUGCCUUGGUGAAGUAGUUUUUGUUUUGUUUUGUUUUGUUGUUUUUUACCCACUUAACUGGGCAUUAGGAGGCUAUGCUAAUUUCAAAAGUUCUAGGAAGUUUUAUUGAAAUAUUUUGCAUAAUUUUCUCCUCUAUCUUUUCUCUGUAACCCUUUCCCCACCCCCCACCUCCCAGGAACUUCUUAGUACUUGGAUGUGGAUCUCAAGAUUAAUCCUUUACCUUUCUUAGCUUUUCCUAUUUUUGAAAUUUCUAUGCAACUUUAUUCUCUAUGUCAGAUUAAACCAAAUCAGUUAAAGAAUUUGAAUGUUUUUUUAAUUAAAGUGUAGCAUACAACUGUAAGUAUAUACCUUGAUGAGUUACCUCCAAGUGAUCAAAUCUCAUCUCCAUCACCCAUAUCAAGAAAUAAAACCACAUCCCUACCCAGGAAGUCUCCACGAGUCCCCAUCUCCCAAGCACUUCUCUUCCCUCCCCUCCGAAGUUAGCAAAAAUACUGACUACUAACACCAGAACUCAAUUUUGUCUACUUUUGAACUUUGUAUAAAUACCAUUACAUUGUAUGAAGAGUUUUGCUUCUGACUUCUUUCUCUUAACAUUAAGAUUGUGAAAUGCUUCCAAAUUAUUGCAUAUAGUGUCCAAUGUUUGUUUAUUCUAAUCACCUUGGAGUAUUUUGUUACAUCCAUCUAUUCUGUUGAAAGAAUAGGUUAUUUAUUCUCUUGACAAAUAUUUAGGUUAUUUUUAGUUUGAGGCCAUUAUUAAUAGCAUUGCUAUGAUGAUUUGUGUACAUGUCUUACACACACACACACACACACACACACACACACACCUGCUAUCCUAAGUCAUGAGUUUAUCACAUAUUAGUAGAUAAUACUAAACCAUUCUCCAAAGGUUUGUAUUAGCCAAGCAUCCCACUGACAGUGGAUGAGAGUUGCCCCAUGUCUUUGCUAAUAAUUGUAUUGUCUGUGUUUUCUAUUUUAAAAUGUCUAAAUGGCAGUGGUUAGAGGUAUCUUACUAUGGUUUUAAUUUGCACCUUCCUCAUUGCUAAUGAGGUUGAGCACCUUGUCAUCUAUUUAUUAGCCAUUUGGAAGUCUCUUAUGAAAUGCCUGUUGAAGUCUCUUGCCUAUUUUUCCACUGUCUUUUACUUAAUGACUUAAUAUCUUCAAAAUAGGAGCCCUUUGUUGUUAUAUGGGCUAUGGUUGUAUUUAUCACUCUAUGGCUGGCCUUUUCAUGUUUGAAAUUGUGUCUUUAAUAAAUUAAAGUUCUUAAUUU
RNAcentral lists this long non-coding RNA (4936 nucleotides) under Sus scrofa (pig). Its description in RNAcentral is "lncRNA (ENSSSCG00000052826.1)". The record is from RNAcentral. Lineage: Eukaryota; Metazoa; Chordata; Mammalia; Artiodactyla; Suidae.